GUUCUGUGAUAUUGAUUCACAUUAGGUUGUAUGUAUCUGUGGACUGGUUUUUUUGUAUUUGUUAUUAAUAAUGACAGAAAGACAUGUGUUAACAAUAGGGGCAAUUGCCAUUUUUUUUUGUUGGAGAAAAUUCUUUACAGUCAAAUAAUGUAGCGAAAGUCAAUUGGUAUACUGAAUUAAAUGUGCUUGAAGAGUUUAUUCGAGCUAGAAUGCGAGAAGAUUAUGAGAGGCAACAUGUGAAACCCCAAGAGGUGCAUUUGUAUAUCAUCAUAUGGCUACACCUGCCCUACACGGACGUUAUAAUGUAUUGUGGACCAAUAAUUUGCGUGCUUGAGACGUACAUCUGAAGAAAAGUGAAUCAGCUGAGGUCCGAGCUGUUGUCUCUGAAAAUUCUUUUAAUCCCCAAGUCAGCCUAAAAACAGCUAAUGUUGAGGUACAACUUCAUGAAAGCUUAGGACAAACUGAUAGGAGCAAAGCACUGCUUUUGCUACUGGGCCCUGAACUAGAAAGAUCUGAAGAAAAUCUACUUCAUAGUGUCGAAGAACUAUUAGUGUCCGAGGACUAUUUUAAUGGCCCAUCAAGAAAACAGUUUGUGGGUCAGUUUUUUACCAAAAGUGAAUCAGAUUUUGCAUUAGGAAGUGCAAUUUUUUAUUGUAAAACACUUUUUUUUUUGUUUUGAAAUAAAUUGUUCUUUAAAUUGU
Molecule: long non-coding RNA, 701 nt
Organism: Zophobas morio
Lineage: Eukaryota; Metazoa; Arthropoda; Insecta; Coleoptera; Tenebrionidae
Exons: 2
Source: RefSeq, a predicted model, not a curated record